AAACAUGUCUUUUUGAGUUAGUUUUAAAGUCUGACCUGCCCACUGAAAUUUUUGAAUGGCCGCAGUAUUUUAACUGUGCAAAGGUAGCAUAAUCAUUAGUCUUUUAAUUGAAGGCUGGUAUGAACGGUUGGACGAAGUAUAAUCUGUUUCAUAUAAAAUUAUAGUAAAAUUUUAUAUUUUAGUAAAAAAGCUAAAAUAAAAUUAAAAGACGAGAAGACCCUAUAAAUCUUUAUAAUUAAUAAUAUAUAAGUUUUUUAGGUUGUUUUCUAUUUUUAUAAUAUUAAUUAUUUUGUUGGGGUGAUAUUAAAAUUUAAUAAACUUUUAAUUUAUUAAAUCAUUAAUUUAUGAAUUAUUGAUCCAUUAAUUAUGAUUAUAAGAUUAAGUUACUUUAGGGAUAACAGCGUAAUUUUUUUGGAGAGUUCAUAUUGAUAAAAAAGUUUGCGACCUCGAUGUUGGAUUAAGAUAAAAGUUAGGUGUAGCUGCUUAAUUGUUGAAGUCUGUUCGACUUUUAAAUUCUUACAUGAUC
RNAcentral lists this ribosomal RNA (526 nucleotides) under Hexachaeta sp. 1 amabilis group USNM ENT 00671715. Its description in RNAcentral is "partial small subunit ribosomal RNA". The stretch from base 394 to 526 matches the Rfam family "Bacterial large subunit ribosomal RNA", at positions 2473 to 2605 of the family's 2925-position model. The record is from RNAcentral. Lineage: Eukaryota; Metazoa; Arthropoda; Insecta; Diptera; Tephritidae.